GAUGAACGCUGGCGGCGUGCUUAACACAUGCAAGUCGAACGGAAAGGCUCCUGCUUGCAGGGGUACUCGAGUGGCGAACGGGUGAGUAACACGUGGGUGAUCUGCCCUGCACUUCGGGAUAAGCCUGGGAAACUGGGUCUAAUACCGGAUAGGACGAUGGUUUGGAUGCCAUUGUGGAAAGUUUUUCGGUGUGGGAUGAGCUCGCGGCCUAUCAGCUUGUUGGUGGGGUAAUGGCCUACCAAGGCGCCGACGGGUAGCCGGCCUGAGAGGGUGUACGGCCACAUUGGGACUGAGAUACGGCCCAGACUCCUACGGGAGGCAGCAGUGGGGAAUAUUGCACAAUGGGCGCAAGCCUGAUGCAGCGACGCCGCGUGGGGGAUGACGGCCUUCGGGUUGUAAACUCCUUUCGCUAGGGACGAAGCGCAAGUGACGGUACCUGGAGAAGAAGCACCGGCUAACUACGUG
Molecule: ribosomal RNA, 465 nt
Filed under: uncultured bacterium
Lineage: Bacteria
Description: partial 16S ribosomal RNA
Rfam family: Bacterial small subunit ribosomal RNA
Source: RNAcentral